This is a non-coding RNA of Cherax quadricarinatus, 345 nucleotides long. Lineage: Eukaryota; Metazoa; Arthropoda; Malacostraca; Decapoda; Parastacidae. The record is from RefSeq and is a predicted model, not a curated record.
CGCGGGAGGCGGCAGCGCCCGCCAUGACGGACGGACGGGAAGCUGUUCCCAGUCAUUCACAAAAUUCGAAGAAAUUUACGGUUAUCGCGGUGGUGACGCCGUCAGGCAUCUUGUGGGAUGGUGAAGGAAGACGGACUGGUGAUGGUAGGAUAUGCGUGACUUACAACGAGCUUCACUGCACCACCACGAACACACCACUGUAACAAGCACCAAGCAAGGGACGUCUGAGCAGUGAGAAGGAGCGAUCACCAGGAAAGGGUAAGCGCAUUAACAGCUCAUCCAGAAACAACACACCAACGAUCAGAUAUAUCUUUUUGAGAGCAUCGCAAAAAAAAAAAAAAUAUU